RNAcentral lists this ribosomal RNA (774 nucleotides) under uncultured Neocallimastigales. Its description in RNAcentral is "partial large subunit ribosomal RNA". It matches the Rfam family "Eukaryotic large subunit ribosomal RNA", at positions 26 to 639 of the family's 3401-position model. Lineage: Eukaryota; Fungi; Neocallimastigomycota; Neocallimastigomycetes; Neocallimastigales. The record is from RNAcentral.
CGCAUCUGUGCAUGCAGCAUAUCAAUAAGCGGAGGAAAAGAAACUAACAAGGAUUCCCUUAGUAACGGCGAGUGAAGCGGGAAGAGCUCAAAUUUGAAAUCUUCAAGGUUUUACCUUGACGAAUUGUAGUUUAAAGAGGUGUUUUCUGUUGAAGUUUUGGUAAAAGUUCUUUGGAAUAGGACAUCAUAGAGGGUGAGAAUCCCGUAUUUGACCAUUAUUUUCAGCUGUGUGAUACACUUUCAAAGAGUCGGAUUGUUUGGGAAUGCAGUCCAAAAUGGGUGGUAAAUUUCAUCUAAAGCUAAAUAUUGGCGAGAGACCGAUAGCGAACAAGUACCGUGAGGGAAAGAUGAAAAGAACUUUGAAAAGAGAGUUAAACAGUACGUGAAAUUGUCAAAAGGGAAGCGUUUGACACCAGUGUUGUUUUCUCGAAAAUCAAUUAAAAAGAGUUUGAUUUUGUUGUGUAUUGACCUUAACAGCUUGCAUUUCAAUUUUCUUGCUUUUUUUAAUGCACUUUUCGUUUAACAAGUCAACAUCAGUUUCUUUUGUUGUAAAAAGGUCAUUGGAAGGUGGCUUUCUUUUCGGAGAAAGUGUUUAUAGCCUUUGACUCCUGCAAUCGGAGAGACUGAGGUCUGCAGCGUAGAUCCUUCGGGGUUAGAUACAUUUGUGCUAAGUUAUAGCUUUUUAUAGACAACUUGUUGACUAUGAUUAGUCUUGUAGCUUACUCGCUUAUGCUAUUUUACCUACGCUUAGGAUGUUGACGCGCGUGUGUGCGUG